Molecule: ribosomal RNA, 617 nt
Filed under: Candida tropicalis
Lineage: Eukaryota; Fungi; Ascomycota; Pichiomycetes; Serinales; Debaryomycetaceae
Description: eukaryotic LSU rRNA
Rfam family: Eukaryotic large subunit ribosomal RNA
Source: RNAcentral
UGCAUAUCCAAUAAGCGGAGGAAAAGAAACCAACAGGGAUUGCCUUAGUAGCGGCGAGUGAAGCGGCAAAAGCUCAAAUUUGAAAUCUGGCUCUUUCAGAGUCCGAGUUGUAAUUUGAAGAAGGUAUCUUUGGGUCUGGCUCUUGUCUAUGUUUCUUGGAACAGAACGUCACAGAGGGUGAGAAUCCCGUGCGAUGAGAUGAUCCAGGCCUAUGUAAAGUUCCUUCGAAGAGUCGAGUUGUUUGGGAAUGCAGCUCUAAGUGGGUGGUAAAUUCCAUCUAAAGCUAAAUAUUGGCGAGAGACCGAUAGCGAACAAGUACAGUGAUGGAAAGAUGAAAAGAACUUUGAAAAGAGAGUGAAAAAGUACGUGAAAUUGUUGAAAGGGAAGGGCUUGAGAUCAGACUUGGUAUUUUGUAUGUUACUUCUUCGGGGGUGGCCUCUACAGUUUAUCGGGCCAGCAUCAGUUUGGGCGGUAGGAGAAUUGCGUUGGAAUGUGGCACGGCUUCGGUUGUGUGUUAUAGCCUUCGUCGAUACUGCCAGCCUAGACUGAGGACUGCGGUUUAUACCUAGGAUGUUGGCAUAAUGAUCUUAAGUCGCCCGUCUUGAAACACGGGACCA